UGGGGAGUACGGUCGCAAGAUUAAAACUCAAAGGAAUUGACGGGGACCCGCACAAGCGGUGGAUGAUGUGGUUUAAUUCGAUGCAACGCGAAAAACCUUACCUACCCUUGACAUGUCUGGAAUUUCGCAGAGAUGUGAAAGUGCUCGAAAGAGAACCAGAACACAGGUGCUGCAUGGCCGUCGUCAGCUCGUGUCGUGAGAUGUUGGGUUAAGUCCCGCAACGAGCGCAACCCUUGUCAUUAGUUGCUACGAAAGGGCACUCUAAUGAGACUGCCGGUGACAAACCGGAGGAAGGUGGGGAUGACGUCAGGUCCUCAUGGCCCUUAUGGGUAGGGCUACACACGUCAUACAAUGGCCGGUACAGGGGGCUGCCAACCCGCGAGGGGGAGCUAAUCCCAGAAAACCGGUCGUAGUCCGGAUCGCAGUCUGCAACUCGACUGCGUGAAGUCGGAAUCGCUAGUAAUCGCGGAUCAGCUUGCCGCGGUGAAUACGUUCCCGGGUCU
Molecule: ribosomal RNA, 503 nt
Filed under: uncultured bacterium
Lineage: Bacteria
Description: bacterial SSU rRNA
Rfam family: Bacterial small subunit ribosomal RNA
Source: RNAcentral